GCACGUUAGAGACUACAGGGAUUGCCUCAGUACGGCGAGUGAAGCGGCAACAGCUCAAUUUGAAAUCUGGCCCCUCGGGCCCGAUGUGUAAUUUGUAGAGGGAGUUUCGUCUGCGGCUCCGGCCUACCUUCCUUGCUACAGGGCGGCAGAGAGGGAGAGAAUCCCGCACGGCGGCGGUUGUCUCUUCCGUGCGAAACCCCUUCGACUAGUAGAGUUGUUGGUUGAUGCUGCUCAAUGGGGGAUUUCAUUGUAAAUACCGAAGACCGAUAGCGCACAAGUAGAGUGAUCAAGAUGAAGCUUGGAAAGCAGAGUCAAACAGUCCGUGAAAUUGAGGAGCGCUUGCAACCAAUGCUCGCGGGUUCAGCCUCCCUUGGGGGGCACUCCCGCGAUCAGGCCACAUCGGUUGCGGGUGGAUAAGCCUCCGGAAUGUAGCUCCCCUCGGGGAGUGUUAUAGCCCGGGUGUAAUGGCCCACCGAGGACCCCUUUCUAGAUGCUGGCGUAAUGGUUGUAAACCCGUCUUGAAACACGGCCAAGGAGUCUAACAUUUGAGUGUUUGGGUGUCAAACCCAUGCGGAAAAGUGAACGGGUGGAGCCUUUCGGGCCCAUACCGAUCUGAUGUUGGAUGGAUUGAGUAGAGCAUACUGUUCACCGAAAGAUGUGAAUAUGCGAAUAGUGAACCAGAGGAAACUCUGGGGAGCUCGCGUCGUGAAUGAUCGCAUUUGCUAUAGGGGAAAUACUAAUCGAGCCAUGUAGUGAUCGGCAUCUAGAGAUACUCUGUGGGCGGGGCUUCCAAGCCCCCAGUAGUCCCCCCGUCCGGGGGCGACAUUGCCGGUCUUCGGGGACGCCCUCUGGGUUACCUGCCCUGAGCUUCGGCUCAGUCACAGACUAAGUGUUCGGUGCGCCAAAUUCUCGUCUAGGAGAUAGUAUAGCGGCGAAAGUGUAAUCGAGCAUGUAUUGCAC
Molecule: ribosomal RNA, 960 nt
Filed under: Oxneriaria iqbalii
Lineage: Eukaryota; Fungi; Ascomycota; Lecanoromycetes; Pertusariales; Megasporaceae
Description: partial large subunit ribosomal RNA
Rfam family: Eukaryotic large subunit ribosomal RNA
Source: RNAcentral